Long non-coding RNA from Suricata suricatta (meerkat), 448 nucleotides. RefSeq lists it as uncharacterized. Lineage: Eukaryota; Metazoa; Chordata; Mammalia; Carnivora; Herpestidae. The transcript is spliced from 3 exons. The record is from RefSeq and is a predicted model, not a curated record.
UCCACGUGCUCCCAGGAGGGGCUCUGACUUUAUUACUCAGAAAGAAAGAAGCUUCCAUGAUGCAGAUGGUCAUUUGUUCAUUCAGCUAAAACUCCUCAAGACCCUACUCUGUGUCAAGCCCUGUGCUGGGCAUUCGGGACGAAAUGGAGAUCAAGGCCCAUGUCCUGUCCUCAGGAGAUGACCAUUUGGUGGGAAAGUCAUGCCAGGAGACAGAUCUUGGAUACCUCCUUUGUGAACCGACAGCAAGCAUGCAUUCCAAGACUCAAGAGGACCUUUCUCAUCAGUGUUGUGGGGUUGAAAACAAUUGUGUUAUCAGCCCGCAUUCCGCUCCACCAGCCUCCAGCUCAGGCAGAGAUGCACUGUGACAAGGCUCACUGCCCCGUCAAUGUUUUUUAAGUGAGGAAAACAUUCAGUGAAUGAUUUGUAAUGCCGGAUAUCCAGUUUAAAA